This is a small nucleolar RNA of Xenopus tropicalis (tropical clawed frog), 75 nucleotides long. Its record names the gene SNORD34. It matches the Rfam family "Small nucleolar RNA SNORD34". Rfam says of the family: snoRNA U34 is found in intron 5 of the ribosomal protein L13a gene in humans. U34 is a member of the C/D class of snoRNA which contain C (UGAUGA) and D (CUGA) box motifs, and functions in directing site-specific 2'-O-methylation of 25S rRNAs. The record is from Ensembl. Lineage: Eukaryota; Metazoa; Chordata; Amphibia; Anura; Pipidae.
UGUGUCUAUGAUGCUUUUUCUUUACCUACAUUUUGAUUUUCUAAAUGAUAAAAAUGUUCACAGACUGAGACAUGA